AUUGAACGCUGGCGGCAGGCCUAACACAUGCAAGUCGAGCGGAUGAAGGGAGCUUGCUCCUGGAUUCAGCGGCGGACGGGUGAGUAAUGCCUAGGAAUCUGCCUGGUAGUGGGGGAUAACGUCCGGAAACGGGCGCUAAUACCGCAUACGUCCUGAGGGAGAAAGUGGGGGAUCUUCGGACCUCACGCUAUCAGAUGAGCCUAGGUCGGAUUAGCUAGUUGGUGGGGUAAAGGCCUACCAAGGCGACGAUCCGUAACUGGUCUGAGAGGAUGAUCAGUCACACUGGAACUGAGACACGGUCCAGACUCCUACGGGAGGCAGCAGUGGGGAAUAUUGGACAAUGGGCGAAAGCCUGAUCCAGCCAUGCCGCGUGUGUGAAGAAGGUCUUCGGAUUGUAGCACUUUAAGUUGGGAGGAAGGGCAGUAAGUUAAUACCUUGCUGUUUUGACGUUACCAACAGAAUAAGCACCGGCUAACUUCGUG
RNAcentral lists this ribosomal RNA (482 nucleotides) under uncultured bacterium. Its description in RNAcentral is "partial 16S ribosomal RNA". It matches the Rfam family "Bacterial small subunit ribosomal RNA", at positions 30 to 507 of the family's 1533-position model. The record is from RNAcentral.